Molecule: non-coding RNA, 145 nt
Organism: Gossypium raimondii (Peruvian cotton)
Lineage: Eukaryota; Viridiplantae; Streptophyta; Magnoliopsida; Malvales; Malvaceae
Source: Rfam
UGUUGAAGGUUUCAUCCAUUUAUAUUAUUAAAAACUGGCAUGGUUGACGGAAUAACCGGAUGGUUACACGUAAGGGGCCAUGUGUACCUUAUACUGACCUACAGGGACUAGUUUUUAAUAGGAGAAAUGGAUGAAAUUUUUAAUA